RNAcentral lists this ribosomal RNA (795 nucleotides) under uncultured Methanosarcina sp. RNAcentral describes it as "bacterial SSU rRNA". It matches the Rfam family "Archaeal small subunit ribosomal RNA", at positions 85 to 879 of the family's 1478-position model. Lineage: Archaea; Methanobacteriati; Methanobacteriota; Methanomicrobia; Methanosarcinales; Methanosarcinaceae. The record is from RNAcentral.
ACUGCUCAGUAACACGUGGAUAANNGCCCUUUGGACCGGCAUAACCCCGGGAAACUGGGGAUAAUUCCGGAUAACGCAUAUGUGCUGGAAUGCUUUAUGCGUCAAAUGGAUUCGUCCGCCCAAGGAUGGGUCUGCGGCCUAUCAGGUAGUAGUGGGUGUAAUGUACCUACUAGCCGACAACGGGUACGGGUUGUGAGAGCAAGAGCCCGGAGAUGGAUUCUGAGACAUGAAUCCAGGCCCUACGGGGCGCAGCAGGCGCGAAAACUUUACAAUGCGGGAAACCGUGAUAAGGGGACACCGAGUGUCAGCAUCAUAUGCUGGCUGUCCAGGUGUGUAAAAUACACCUGUUAGCAAGGGCCGGGCAAGACCGGUGCCAGCCGCCGCGGUAACACCGGCGGCCCGAGUGGUGAUCGUGAUUAUUGGGUCUAAAGGGUCCGUAGCCGGUUUGGUCAGUCCUCCGGGAAAUCUGAUAGCUCAACUAUUAGGCUAUCGGGGGAUACUACCAGACUUGGAACCGGGAGAGGUAAGAGGUACUACAGGGGUAGGAGUGAAAUCUUGUAAUCCCUGUGGGACCACCUGUGGCGAAGGCGUCUUACCAGAACGGGUUCGACGGUGAGGGACGAAAGCUGGGGGCACGAACCGGAUUAGAUACCCGGGUAGUCCCAGCCGUAAACGAUGCUCGCUAGGUGUCAGGCAUGGCGCGACCGUGUCUGGUGCCGCAGGGAAGCCGUGAAGCGAGCCACCUGGGAAGUACGGCCGCAAGGCUGAAACUUAAAGGAAUUGGCGGGGGAGCAC